Molecule: long non-coding RNA, 402 nt
Organism: Leptidea sinapis
Lineage: Eukaryota; Metazoa; Arthropoda; Insecta; Lepidoptera; Pieridae
Exons: 4
Source: RefSeq, a predicted model, not a curated record
UGCUAAGAUAGUUUUGAGAUGGAGAUCAUUUUUUAUGUUUGAAGAACGCAAAAGUUAUGAGUGCCUCAGCCACAGCUGUGCCUAGCAGAGAAGUCAGGCAGCAACAGAAUACACCACGAAGGCAAGAUAGACCAAGAGCAACUACUAGAAGAUUUUUUUUAGUACGCCUGAGCAAGCGCAACAUUUGUAAUAAUGCCUCUCGAUUGCGCCGCAGCAAAAGAUUAGCCGCACGAGAUCAUGAGCACAGAUUAAAGUAGACUUCGAAAAGGGACGAGACGAGCAGGACAUUAAGCUGAUGCGUUCCUGCAAAGUAAUUGCAACAGGCUUUCUUAGUGGAACACCGAUGUGCCAAAAUUUGAUCUCUUGGACUGGCGUCGCGCUGCAGUGCAUUUGCAGUUUUUU